GGAGAUUCAACAUAUAGCCACAUAAUCAGACAACGACUUCAUCCGAGCAUUGGUAAAAGAUUACUUUGAAUGCUACAUGUGGCUUGUGUGUAGUUAAUUCUAAUCUGAAAGUGUUUAAGGAUAUUCAGAGAAUGCUACUUACAAUUUUACCAUGUUAUUUUGACUGAAAUGUUAAAUUAUACAGUUUUUUUUUUUUGGUUUCUUGUUAUUUCACACAGUGGAUGAAGACGUUAGAAGGCGGUGGAAAGAGUUAAUGGAAAUAUUCAGGCAAUCUCAGGAGCAUCUCAGACAUCUGAUGUUUUUGUCUCACCCAACGACAGAAGUGGAUGAAGACGUUAGAAGGCGGUGGAAAGAGUUAAUGGAAAUUAUUAGGCAAUUUCAGGAGCAUCUCAGACAUCUGAUGUUUUUGUCUCACCCAACGACAGAAGUGGAUGCAGACGUUAGAAGGCGGUGGAUGGAGAUAAUGGAAAUAUUCAGGCAAUCUCAGGAGCAUCUCAGACAUCUGAUGUUUUUGUCUCACCCAACGACAGAAGGCAAGAAUUGUUUUGGAAGUGAUUUGAUUUAUUGUUAUAAAAAAAUUUAUUCAUUCAUUCAUUUUGUUUUCGGCUUAGUCCCUUUAUUAAUCCGGGGUCACCACAGCGGAAUGAGCUGCCAACUUAUCUAGCACGUUUUUACGCAGCGGAUGCCCAGCUGCAACCCAUGACUGGGAAACAUCCACACACACUCAUUCACACACAUACACUAUGGACAAUUUAGCUUACCCAAUUCACCUGUACUGCAUGUUUUUGGACUGUGGGAGAAACCGGAGCACCCGGAGGAAACCCACACGAACGCAAGUAGAAAAUGCAAACUCCACACAGAAACGCCAACUGACCCAGCCGAGGCUCGAACCAGCGACCUUCUUGCUGUGAGGCAACAACACAACCC
This 927-nucleotide long non-coding RNA is filed under the name Danio rerio (zebrafish). Its description in RNAcentral is "lncRNA (ENSDARG00000117271.1)". Lineage: Eukaryota; Metazoa; Chordata; Actinopteri; Cypriniformes; Danionidae. The record is from RNAcentral.